GUGCUAUUUUAUUUAAAUGUUUUUCAACAUUAUUCAAAGGUUGAUUGUUGUCAUCCCGUCUCCUCAAUUCAACCAUCAUUAACAUUUUGUCUUAUUUGCUUAACAGUGUGUCCUUUUCUAUUGCUAAACCCAUUCAGUUGCAGAUAGCCUAUAGCUCAGAAAAGUAUCAUUCUCCUACAUAAAGUGGGAUUAUAGCAACUGAGAAAAUUAACAGUAAAUACCUAAGUUAUCUAGUCCAUAUUCAAUUUUGUGUUUAUUUUUAAAGGUACAACAAUCUACCUAGAUAUCAGAUGCAAGCUAAAUAUUUUGGUAGUGCCUCUCCAACUACCUGUUCUGUUUGUUUUUAAAGUUUUGACAUCCAUACUUUUGUAAAAUAGGAAAACAUGAAUUGCUAGAAAAAUGGUAUUAAAAGAUAAAUGCAAUAAAAGUCCAAAAGUUCAGGUAGGCAUUUUAACUCUGCCUUUUUCUUUUUCUUUUUUGAAACAAACAAAUGUGGUUCCCUUCCCUCCGGCUAAUAUUUACCUUAGCAACCUUUGGAGCGCUAUGGAAGGCUCCUGUCCGAUAUAUUCUUCGUGCUAUCUUCCGAACAAGCUCAUUUACUAAGAAAUUGUCAAUGGCUCUCCCCUCUUUUAUGGACACAUUUCAUUCUCCUUCCAUAGACCUUUGAAACCUUCCAUGUAUAAAGCUCAAAUUCGCCUUCCAGAUUCAUUUUCAAUCACUUUCUCUUUCAGAGGUGCAUCACAUGGCCCCUGUCCCAUCUGAAACUACCCCAUCUUUGAGGCCCUAAGAUGACUUUCCCCAUUACUAAAACCCAUCUCUGUGCCUUCUGGAAUGUCUAGAAACACUUCUAACAUUUCUAAAGUCUUGGAAGACACGUUUGGGAGUCCAGCCUCUUUCAUCUGUGUCUUGCCCUGAAGCUGAUUAUGCUGCUUUGAUCCCAUUGGUGCUCCUUAACUGUUGUUGAUGGAUUGGUUAGCUUUUUCUGAACUGCACAUCUGGUGUGUCACGUUCCCUGCAAACCUUUCAAUGGCUCUUAGGCGGAAGUCCUGGGUUCUUAAGUGGCUCACAAGGGCCUCUAUAGAAUGGGUCUUGCUGAUCUUUUCAGCUGUCUCUGCAGUGCUCCAGCCACAGUACAGCUCGUUUUCAGUUCCUGCAAUGUGCUCUCUGCUGGCCUUUGCCUACCACACUUACUGUUCUUUGAUAGGCCAAGGUUGCAGGUUUAGUCCGCAGGUAGGGCACAUAUAAAUCAACCAAUGAAUGCAUAAGUAAUUAAAAUAACAAAUUGAUGUUUUUGUUUCUCUAUAUAUACCUCUGUCUUCUGUCCCCCGCCUCUCCCCCUCUACCCACUCUCCAAAAAUCAAUAAAUAAAAAAAAUCAAAUUAAAUAAAAAAAGAAUUUAUUAUAAUAGGAUACAAAAUUGAUACAUGAAAAGCAAUAUCCUUCAUGUACACGAACAACAAUUAGAGGACAUAAUGGUAGAGAAAAUCCCAUUUACAGUAGUCAAAAAGGUUAAAUAUUUAGGAAUAAACUUAAUAAGAAAUGUGUAAAAUUUAGGAAACACAAAUAAGGAAAAUUUCAAAACACUCCUGAAAGACUCAAAAAAAAAAAAAAAAGACUUGAAAAA
Myotis daubentonii (Daubenton's bat) is the source of this 1624-nucleotide long non-coding RNA. RefSeq lists it as uncharacterized. The record is from RefSeq and is a predicted model, not a curated record. NCBI's taxonomy places the organism in Eukaryota, Metazoa, Chordata, Mammalia, Chiroptera, Vespertilionidae.